Molecule: non-coding RNA, 71 nt
Organism: Podarcis lilfordi (Lilford's wall lizard)
Lineage: Eukaryota; Metazoa; Chordata; Lepidosauria; Squamata; Lacertidae
Source: the annotation of a GenBank genome assembly
GGGCCAUAGCUCAGGGGUAGAGCAUCUGUCUUGCAAGUAGAAGGUUCCAGGGUCAAUUCCUGACAUCUCCA